Non-coding RNA from Pelobates cultripes (western spadefoot toad), 951 nucleotides. NCBI's taxonomy places the organism in Eukaryota, Metazoa, Chordata, Amphibia, Anura, Pelobatidae. The record is from the annotation of a GenBank genome assembly.
GUCAAAGUUUACUCAAUGAUGAGUCCGUGGCGAACCGUUUGCGAACCGUUCGGCGAACAGUUCGGGACAUCACUAAUCAUGACUUUUCUGGCGAUUUUCCUGGCCUUCUAUACCUGAGGCAUCUGGGAACCCUCUUUCCCAGUUUUCCUCCUUCUCCCCAGGGUCUCAUGGGAAUUCUGGGUCUGGCUGGGGCUUAACCUCUUCCCUCCCGCGGUUCCAGUUGGCUCCCGCCGGCUCCAGGGCAUUAACCCCUUCUUCUGGCCUAUCCGUUCAACCCCUUCCUCCUACAACCCUCAGGAGGACGGCCGGACUCACUGCCCUCGCUCUCUCAGGCUGCCCCAUACUGUACACCCGAAUAUGUGCUGGAUGCUUUCCAACAUCCACUACCUUGGUGCAGGGCAGUCUGUGGGGCGACCACGAGGUAGCCCGAGCAUGAUGUAGCGGCCAUCUUUGAUCCCGCGUCUACCGAGACUCCAUGGACCACGUUCCCCUUCCUUUACCCUCGGUGACCAUCUUUAAUCUCGCGUCUCGCGAGAUUAUGGGCGGCUGUUUUGCUACUCUCGCCCACCACGAUUUCGGCGCUCGAGAGUAACAUAUACCUGGGCUGUCACCUAGCCUAGCUGCUCUCGUGGCUCACGAUGCUUUGACAUGGACGUUGGACCCCAGUGUCCCAAGUUAGAAUCCAGGCAAAGGUAAGUAUUCUAACGGCCUAUUAUUUUCAGAUUUGAGUCGUACUCAUGUAUAGUGGUUCGAGGUCUAAACAUCCUGCUGACAAACUGUCAGACUUGGUCUUGUAUAAUUUCCCAUUAGAUGGUGUAUACGUGGGUGCUCAACCGGGAAGACCUUCCCACAACGCCACUGGGUCUCUCGGCACACCUUAGGACUCUUAUUUAGUUCUAUACUCUUUUCUCAGCGUUAAAAAUGCAAAAUACGAAGCCUCCUGUCAUGUGG